Molecule: ribosomal RNA, 1463 nt
Filed under: uncultured Bordetella sp.
Lineage: Bacteria; Pseudomonadati; Pseudomonadota; Betaproteobacteria; Burkholderiales; Alcaligenaceae
Description: partial 16S-23S ribosomal RNA intergenic spacer
Rfam family: Bacterial small subunit ribosomal RNA
Source: RNAcentral
GGUUUGAUCCUGGCUCGAUUGAACGCUGGCGGGAUGCUUUACACAUGCAAGUCGAACGGCACGGACUUCGGUCUGGUGGCGAGGCGGCGAACGGUGAGUAAUGUAUCGGAACGUGCCUAGUAGCGGGGGAUAACUACGCGAAAGCGUAGCUAAUACUGCACAUUGCCCUUUCGGGGGAAAGCGGGGACCUUUCGGGCUCGCACUAUUAGAGCGGCCGAUAUCGGAUUAGCUAGUUGGUGGGUAAACGGCUCGCAAUUGCUGCGACGAUCCGUAGCUGGUUUGAGAGGACGACCAGCCGCCACUGGACCGAGACACGGCCCAGACUCCUACGGGAGGCAGCAGCGGGGGAAUUCUUGGACAAUGGGGGAAACCCGAUCCAGCCAUCCCGCGUGCGAUGAAGGCCUUCGGGUUGUAAAGCAAUUUUGGCAGGAGAAGAAAUGGCAUCGAUAAUACCCCGUGCAACUGACGGUACCUGCAGAAUAAGUACCGGCUAACUACGUGCCAGCAGCCGCGGUAAUACGUAGGGUGCAAGCGUUAAUCGGAAUUACUGGCGUAAAGCGCAGGCGGUUCGGAAAGAAAGAUGUGGAAACCGAGCUUAACUUCUUUGAACUGCAUUUUUAACUACCGAACUAGAGUAUGUCAGAGGGAGGUGGAAUUCCGCGUGUAGCAGUGAAAUGCGUAGAUAUGCGGAGGAACACCACCGAUGGUGGAAGGCAGGCCUCCAGAUAACACUGGAUGCCCAUAAUGAAAGCGUGGGAGCAAAACAGGAUUAGAUACCCUGGUAGUCCACGCCCUAAAUCAUAUCAACUAGCUGCUGGGGCCUUCGGGCCUUGGUAGCGCAGCUAAUGCGUGAAGUUGACCGCCUGGGAGUACGGUCGCAAGAUUAAAACUCAAAGGGACGACGGGACUCGCACAAGCGGUGGAUAUGGUGGAUUAAUUGAUGCAACGCGAAAAACCUUACCUACCUGACAUGUCUGGAAUCGAAGAUUUGGGAGUUUCGUGAGAACUGGAACACAGGUGCUGCAUGGCUAGGUCGUCAGCUCGUGUCGUGAGAUGUUAAGCUAAGUCCCGCAACGAGCAGCAACCUUGUCAUUAGUUGCUACGAAAGGGCACCCCCACGAGACUGCCGGUGACAAACCGGAGGAAGGUGGGGAUGACGUCAAGUCCUCAUGGCCCUUAUGCAGUAGGGCUACACGUCAAGUACAAUGGUCGGGACAGAGGGUCGCCAACCCGAGGGAGCCAAUCCCAGAAACCCGAUCGUAGUCCGGAUCGCAGUCUGCAACUCGACUGCGUGAAGUCGGAAUCGCUAGUAAUCGCGGAUCAGCAUGUCGCGGUGAACAUCUCCUGGCCUGUACACACUGCCCGUCACGGGAGUGGGUUUUACCAGAAGUAGUUAGCCUAACCGUAAGGAGGGCGAUUACCACGGUAGGACUCACAGACUGGGUGAAGCUGUAACAAGGUAG